This 349-nucleotide long non-coding RNA is filed under the name Numida meleagris (helmeted guineafowl). RNAcentral's name for it is "lncRNA (ENSNMEG00000007826.1)". The record is from RNAcentral. Lineage: Eukaryota; Metazoa; Chordata; Aves; Galliformes; Numididae.
GGGCAAGAGAUAAUUGCUUUCUACGUAUGUUUUCAGGAGUACUGCAAAGUGACAGUGACUGAAAUUAUAGAAAAACUAUCUUAAGAACACGGACAAAUUAAAGCCAACAAGAUGUUAGUGGCACUCUUAGGGAAGUAGCGUCCCCCAGACCCAACUCCUUCAGAGGUUCUCAGGGAAGAAUGCUACGGGAAAAUGUUGAACUGAUAAAAAGUUGUCACUCUAGGGAUGACAAAUGGCUGAUGUCACUUGGAGGGCUGUACUUCUGCACGCAUCAUGAGAAGUUUGGGAACACGGUGCUAAUUGAAAACCUUUCAGAGGAACUCAGUCGCACUCUAUAGUCUGCAAAGCU